CCUAAUACAUGCAAGUCGAACGGUCUUUCUAUGGAAGCUUGCUCCACUGAGAAGAUAGUGGCGAACGGGUGAGUAACAACGUGGGUAACCUGCCCAUAAGAGGGGGGAGUAACAAUCCGGAAACGGGUGCUAAUACCGCAUAGUUUUCUUGAUUGCAUGAUUGAGAAAGGAAAGACGGCCUUUGUGCUGUCGCUUAUGGAUGGACCCGCGGCGUAUUAGUUAGUUGGUGAGGUAACGGCUCACCAAGACGAUGAUACGUAGCCGACCUGAGAGGGUGAUCGGCCACAUUGGGACUGAGACACGGCCCAAACUCCUACGGGAGGCAGCAGUAGGGAAUCUUCCGCAAUGGACGAAAGUCUGACGGAGCAACGCCGCGUGAGUGAAAGAAGGUUUUCGGAUCGUAAAACUCUGUUGUCAGAGAAGAACAAGUUGGAGAGUAACUGCUCCAGCCUUGACGGUAUCUGACCAGAAAGCCACGGCUAACUACGUGCCAGCCGCCGC
This 501-nucleotide ribosomal RNA is filed under the name uncultured bacterium. RNAcentral describes it as "bacterial SSU rRNA". It matches the Rfam family "Bacterial small subunit ribosomal RNA", at positions 47 to 518 of the family's 1533-position model. The record is from RNAcentral.